UAUAUAUAUAUUUAUGUUGCUCCCUUUAGAACUAAUGAGUAAUAAAAAUUCCAGCUUAGCACUCAGGAUAACCUGUCAGAUAAAAUGUAUAUUUGGACAGAUUGUACAACACAGCUAUAAGAUUGGGGGAGCUUCAGGCACAGUUUAAGCUGCAGAUAGAUCCCCAGGAGUAUGCUCGAGAAAAUCUCAAGUUUGGCCUUGUUGAAGUAGUGUAUGAAUGGGCAAAGGGAACCCCAUUUGCAGAUAUAUGUGAACUUACGGAUGUUCCCGAAGGUCUGAUAGUGAGGACCAUAGUUAGGUUGGAUGAGACAUGUCGUGAAUUCAAAAAUGCAGCUGCAAUUAUGGGUAAUUCUGCACUUCACAAAAAGAUGGAAAUUGCUUCCAACGCAAUAAAACGUGAUAUUGUUUUCGCUGCUAGCUUGUACAUUACAGGAGUGUAAUAUUUUGAGGUCAUAGGUUUGUUACCAUGUAACUUUUGUUGUGUGUUAAUUAGUCACCAGCUUGAAGUUUGCAAGUUUUGUUUAUUACCGCCCUUGUAUAUAUUAAGGGUUUAUGUAUUUUAGUCUUUGAAUGUGAAUUCUCCCAGCCUAGGCAGUGUAUUGGAUACUACAAUAGGAGAGUUUUAAUAUAAAAAUCUUUUUAGUACCAAA
Long non-coding RNA from Daucus carota subsp. sativus, 650 nucleotides. RefSeq lists it as uncharacterized. The record is from RefSeq and is a predicted model, not a curated record. NCBI's taxonomy places the organism in Eukaryota, Viridiplantae, Streptophyta, Magnoliopsida, Apiales, Apiaceae. The transcript has 2 exons.